RNAcentral lists this ribosomal RNA (276 nucleotides) under uncultured Facklamia sp. RNAcentral's name for it is "partial 16S ribosomal RNA". It matches the Rfam family "Bacterial small subunit ribosomal RNA", at positions 524 to 800 of the family's 1533-position model. The record is from RNAcentral. Lineage: Bacteria; Bacillati; Bacillota; Bacilli; Lactobacillales; Aerococcaceae.
UACGUAGGUGGCAAGCGUUGUCCGGAUUUAUUGGGCGUAAAGGGAGCGCAGGCGGUGACUUAAGUCUGAUGUGAAAGCCCACGGCUCAACCGUGGAGGGUCAUUGGAAACUGGGUCACUUGAGUACAGAAGAGGAAAGCGGAAUUCCAUGUGUAGCGGUGAAAUGCGUAGAUAUAUGGAGGAACACCAGUGGCGAAAGCGGCUUUCUGGUCUGAAACUGACGCUGAGGCUCGAAAGCGUGGGGAGCAAACAGGAUUAGAUACCUGGUAGUCAAGGC